Molecule: ribosomal RNA, 381 nt
Filed under: Klebsiella pneumoniae
Lineage: Bacteria; Pseudomonadati; Pseudomonadota; Gammaproteobacteria; Enterobacterales; Enterobacteriaceae
Description: bacterial SSU rRNA
Rfam family: Bacterial small subunit ribosomal RNA
Source: RNAcentral
CAUUGAACGCUGGCGGCAGGCAAAACACAUGCAAGUCGAGCGGUAGCACAGAGAGCUUGCUCUCGGGUGACGAGCGGCGGACGGGUGAGUAAUGUCUGGGAAACUGCCUGAUGGAGGGGGAUAACUACUGGAAACGGUAGCUAAUACCGCAUAACGUCGCAAGACCAAAGUGGGGGACCUUCGGGCCUCAUGCCAUCAGAUGUGCCCAGAUGGGAUUAGCUAGUAGGUGGGGUAACGGCUCACCUAGGCGACGAUCCCUAGCUGGUCUGAGAGGAUGACCAGCCACACUGGAACUGAGACACGGUCCAGACUCCUACGGGAGGCAGCAGUGGGAAAUAUUGCACAAUGGGCGCAAGCCUGAUGCACCCUUGCCGCGUGUGU